This is a non-coding RNA of Homo sapiens (human), 148 nucleotides long. It matches the Rfam family "Metazoan signal recognition particle RNA". From Rfam's summary of the family: The signal recognition particle (SRP) is a universally conserved ribonucleoprotein. It is involved in the co-translational targeting of proteins to membranes. The eukaryotic SRP consists of a 300-nucleotide 7S RNA and six proteins: SRPs 72, 68, 54, 19, 14, and 9. The record is from Rfam. NCBI's taxonomy places the organism in Eukaryota, Metazoa, Chordata, Mammalia, Primates, Hominidae.
GUCAGGUGUGGUGGUGCACAUCUGUAGUUCCAGCUACACAGAAGGCUGAGGCAGGAGGAUCGUUUGAGCCUAGGAGGUCGAGGCUGCAGUGAGCCGUGAUGGCGCCACUGCACUCCAGCCUGGGCAACAGAGCAAGAUCCUGUCUCCA